AGCGAACGUUAGCGGCGGGCCUAACACAUGCAAGUCGAGCGAGAAAGUGGCUUCGGCCAUCAGUAAAGCGGCGGACGGGUGAGUAACACGUAGGUAAUCUUCCCUUGAGCGGGGGACAACGUUUCGAAGGAACGCUAAUACCGCAUACGUUCCCGGGACGCUCUGGCCCCUCGGGAGGAAAGCUAGGUCGCAAGAUCCGGCACUCGAGGAGGAGCCUGCGUCGCAUCAGCUAGUUGGUGGGGAA
Molecule: ribosomal RNA, 244 nt
Filed under: uncultured bacterium
Lineage: Bacteria
Description: partial 16S ribosomal RNA
Rfam family: Bacterial small subunit ribosomal RNA
Source: RNAcentral